Long non-coding RNA from Sitodiplosis mosellana (orange wheat blossom midge), 1964 nucleotides. RefSeq lists it as uncharacterized. The record is from RefSeq and is a predicted model, not a curated record. Lineage: Eukaryota; Metazoa; Arthropoda; Insecta; Diptera; Cecidomyiidae. The transcript is spliced from 2 exons.
UUCACGUUCAAACUGUGAAGGGAAAAUGAUUGUGAAUCAAACGAAUGUCGUGGUCUUACGUAUCAUUUGACAAAUGCAGUUAACAAGUCCGUAUGGAAUUGACCGCAACGUCACAGUUUUGACUUUUUCCGUCACGUAUAAAACACGUAGAGUUUUCGCUCCUCACAUCCGAAAUAAUAGAUUCACACAUCGAAAUUAGUGGUGUUUUUUUCAUUCUGUGCGAAAACGAAAAGAAAUCCAACAAAACAUUGAAGUUGACCGGCUCGGUUCAAUUUUAUUCCCUUUUAGACCAUCCUAAACCGGCCAAUAUACACGCAUAAAUAAACAAAGAAAAAUGACACAACACUUUAAAAAGAAACAUUCAAUCGACGAUUUAGUUCAUUAUGUCACGCUUCAUAGAAUCCUACCGCUUGCUCUGCGAGCCAUUGUCUGGCCGUUUGUAGUGUUCUAUUUAAUCUGUUUAGGAUUUUUAUACCAAACCGAUGCCGACCACUAUGAAAUCGGUUUCAUUGCAUUGGCUGUGGUUGGAUGUGUGCACAUAUUGACCGUGCUGUGCUGCUAUUGGAGCGUUCAUAUUGCAGCAUUUUUGAAUUGUCGAAAGGUAAAGUUUGAGCUGCCACAAAAAAAUGUCUUCGUCAAAGUUGUACCGAUGCCAAAUAAUGGCUCCGUCCAUCAAACGCAGUUAAAUGACGCUAACAAGCAGAUCAUCUCUUGGUUCAUUUUCCAAAAGAUCAAAUACGUGUGAGAUGCAGACAAGAAAACGUUCCGUGGCAUUGAUUUCUCCAUUCACAAAACAUAUGGAGAGUAUAUGAAUUGCAAAGGUCAUCAGAACGAAGAUGGUUUUGAGCUGGCACAAAAGCGGUACGGAAAUAAUCAAAUGGAAAUGGUUGUACCCGAGUUUUUGGAAUUUUUUAUUGAACGUGCCACCGCACCAUUUUUUGUAUUUCAAAUCUUUUCCGUUGGACUAUGGUAAAGGUAUUUUGCCUCAGUUGGAAUGACUCAAAAUUAGCACAUGGCGAUUGAAUGGCGACUUCUUUGAAUCAAUUCUCAAAUUGUCUCCAAAGUUGAAGUAUUUGGCAAUCAAACGCAUCGGAGAUAAUCUUAUCAUAGGGAACAACAAUGGGUGGCUACAUCGUAAGUAUCCACAAAUCGAACACGUCAAACUCAUGGGACAUCAUGCUGUGGGUAACGAAAUGUCUGAAUUCAAGACACUCCUCGAAUCGAACCCAAAAAUCCAAACACUAUCCACGACAUGCGAUCUAUUUCCUGGAAACGACAACCCUUUUAUGCAAUCACGCGAACAAAUUGGAUAAAUCUAAAAUGGUCAAAUUGGAAAAAAUCGCUUCGGUGCGUGGAAUGGAAAAAUUGUAUCUACAUUCUGCAGAUUCACUGGCCGCUUUACCAUCAAUGCCAGAGCUCAAAGAACUGGCCAUUAUUUUUCCUGUUACUCAUAUUGACCUGGUUGCCGUGACAGAGAGUCUCAUCAACGUCGAACGAGUUUACAUUGGGCGUGCAAAAAUCGAACGAAUUAUACCAUUCUUGCGUUACGCUGCGAAGUUAAAGGAAAUCAAAGUCGAAGAUGAAGAAGCUCAUUACUCAGAUGUUGAUGAUUUCAUCAAUUUGCCAUUAUUCAACAGAGAGUGAGGACGAUUGAAUGGCGCGAGAAAAGUUACAGUUUAUGCAAAAGAAAGUAUUUUUCUCGCAAAAAAAAAGCAUCGAAGGAGACUGAGUUCAGUUUGAUCAAUCUCAAACGAGAUGAAGCAGUCGAAUGGAUUCAUGAAUUUGAAUAGCAUAAAACAGCAAAAUUCAAUACCAACUGUACAAAGAUCAUUCAUCUUCCAGAAACACUUUAGUAUAAAUUACACUUCCAUUUCCAUUACUGAUAAUACAUAAAAACGUUUUUGAUGAUUUUUUGUACUUUUGCAAACGAUAUUCAUAAAUAAAAAUAAAAUUUAUUCAAUAAA